This 1459-nucleotide long non-coding RNA is filed under the name Ananas comosus (pineapple). RNAcentral's name for it is "long non-coding RNA (ACOM_LNC036281)". Lineage: Eukaryota; Viridiplantae; Streptophyta; Magnoliopsida; Poales; Bromeliaceae. The record is from RNAcentral.
UGAAGUUUGAGCUCAAACGGAUGUUCAGAGAGUUCCGGCGAAAGAUAUCAGAUUUCGAACUGCCCGGGAGUGAAUAGUGUUGUGGUGUUGACUAAAGAGGAGUGUUGACUCCUCUUCUUCUCCUUCAGCCGCACACACACCACACACACACGCGCGCAUGGAGGGGGAGGGAAACCCUCCCUUCUCUCUCUAGAGAUCUCUCUCAUCUCUCUAAAUCUCUCUCUAAAAAUUGGAGGGUUGGUGGAGAAGAUGCUUGCGAACGCAUUGGAGGCGACGGAUCGAGCUUUUGUGCGCCCGUUGGAGCGGCGUAUUUUCGUCGUGGCGUUCAUAUUGAGGUAAGCUUUUAGGAUUUGGUUUAAUCCUUAGUUUUAAGUGUUCUAAUAGCCUCUAAUGAGCAUUCUAAACAUGUUUGCCCCAUUUGAUUUGGAUUAUUUAGAGGUUAAUUGCAUAUUAGGGCUCCGAAUGGGGUUUUAUAAAAUAUAAGGGUUUGAUCUAAUUUGACCCUCCGUAAACCGAAUUGCUAGGUAAACGAACGCGUUGGCGAAGUCGGUUCGGCGAUUCGUCGAGCCGGUGCGAAGUUAUUAAAGAAACGGACGUUUAGGCUUCGUUUUCGCCUGGAGGGCCGAGGCGACGUCGUAAAAUCCUGGAAACGGAUUUGAAGCACCGUAACAGCAAAACGAAGACCCUUUUUGCCCGAGGUUGCGAAGCGAUGCGCGGUUGGUGCGCAAUUGCAUGUUCCGGCGGAACCGAGCACCGGAUGUCGCGGGAGGCCGAUUACAAGUGUCGACAAGCAAUCGGAAUGCGAAAUGAGGUGGGUUGUGCUUACCGAAGCGACUAGGUCGCCCUUUAUGUUUAAGAAACAUACGAGUUCACAUUGAUGCAUAUAGUUGUAUUGGUAGGCUUACAUGAUAAUAUGAAUGCUUGAAACAUAUUAUGUAGUUGAUAUUACCUACCAAUGAGAUGAAAUGUAUAAUGAAUUAAAUGGUAAAAGAAUGCAUAAGAUGCUAAGUAUAGACUACUUUGGAUGAUGAUUAAAUGUAUGUUGACAUAUCAUAUAAUGUGCAUGAUGACAUGUUGUGAAUUAACAUAUUGUGGAUUAUGUUAAAUAGAAACAUAUACAUGAUGACAUAUAUUGCAUAUGAUAGAAGAAUUAUACAUGUUGCCAUAUUGUGGAACAUAGUGGAUGGAUUAUGCAUGUUGAACUUGGUCGAUUAGAGAAAUUGACAUUGGAAAACAAGAACACAUCGAGUGGCAUUAAUGUAGUGUAUUUGACACUAGAGGUUUGAGAACCUAGGGAUAGGUGAAUCCCUUAGAAAAUGCCUUGUGUAUAAAGAACUUAUUAAACCUAAGUACCCUCACAUGGAGAGGUUGUCGAUGAGUUAUUGAGAUGUUGACCCUAGUUGUAGGGCAUCCUCACUUAGAGAGGAUUUGAUUGGGUCGUUGACUCUAGUUGUAGAGC